This 489-nucleotide ribosomal RNA is filed under the name uncultured bacterium. RNAcentral describes it as "partial 16S ribosomal RNA". It matches the Rfam family "Bacterial small subunit ribosomal RNA", at positions 30 to 507 of the family's 1533-position model. The record is from RNAcentral.
UUGAACGCUGGCGGCAGGCCUAACACAUGCAAGUCGAACGGUAACAGGAAGCAGCUUGCUGCUUUGCUGACGAGUGGCGGACGGGUGAGUAAUGUCUGGGAAACUGCCUGAUGGAGGGGGAUAACUACUGGAAACGGUAGCUAAUACCGCAUAACGUCGCAAGACCAAAGAGGGGGACCUUCGGGCCUCUUGCCAUCGGAUGUGCCCAGAUGGGAUUAGCUUGUUGGUGGGGUAACGGCUCACCAAGGCGACGAUCCCUAGCUGGUCUGAGAGGAUGACCAGCCACACUGGAACUGAGACACGGUCCAGACUCCUACGGGAGGCAGCAGUGGGGAAUAUUGCACAAUGGGCGCAAGCCUGAUGCAGCCAUGCCGCGUGUAUGAAGAAGGCCUUCGGGUUGUAAAGUACUUUCAGCGGGGAGGAAGGGAGUAAAGUUAAUACCUUUACUCAUUGACGUUACCCGCAGAAGAAGCACCGGCUAACUCCGUG